This 442-nucleotide ribosomal RNA is filed under the name uncultured bacterium. RNAcentral's name for it is "partial 16S ribosomal RNA". It matches the Rfam family "Bacterial small subunit ribosomal RNA", at positions 338 to 795 of the family's 1533-position model. The record is from RNAcentral.
CCUACGGGUGACAGCAGUGGGGAAUAUUGGGCAAUGGGCGCAAGCCUGACCCAGCAACGCCGCGUGAAGGAAGAAGGCUCUCGGGUUGUAAACUUCUUUUAUCAGGGACGAAGCAAGUGACGGUACCUAUGAAUAAGCCACGGCUAACUACGUGCAAGCAGCCGCGGUAAUACGUAGGUGGCAAGCGUUAUCCGGAUUUACUGGGUGUAAGGGGCGUGUAGGCGGGAAAGCAAGUCAGAUGUGAAAGCCCUGGGCUCAACGUGUGGCCUGCAUUUGAAACUGUUUUUCUUGAGUACUGGAGAGGCAGACGGAAUUCCUGGUGUAGCGGUGAAAUGCGUAGAUAUUAGGAGGAACACCAGUGGCGAAGGCAGUCUGCUGGACAGCAACUGACGCUGAGGCGCGAAAGCGUGGGGAGCAAACAGGAUUAGAUACCCUUGUAGUC